This 305-nucleotide ribosomal RNA is filed under the name uncultured bacterium. RNAcentral describes it as "bacterial SSU rRNA". It matches the Rfam family "Bacterial small subunit ribosomal RNA", at positions 337 to 657 of the family's 1533-position model. The record is from RNAcentral.
ACCUACGGGAGGCAGCAGUGGGGAAUAUUGCACAAUGGGCGAAAGCCUGAUGCAGCAACGCCGCGUGAAGGAAGAAGGCCUUCGGGUCGUAAACUUCUGUCCUUGGGGAAGAAGAACUGACGGUACCCAAGGAGGAAGCCCCGGCUAACUACGUGCCAGCAGCCGCGGUAAUACGUAGGGGGCAAGCGUUAUCCGGAAUUACUGGGUGUAAAGGGUGAGUAGGCGGCAUGGUAAGCCAGAUGUGAAAGCCUUGGGCUUAACCCGAGGAUUGCAUUUGGAACUAUCAAGCUAGAGUACAGGAGAGG